AUGUUUCACUCCUUUUCAGCUCGGUUUCGCUCAUUUUUGGGUCAUUUUCUCUUGGUUUUGGGUUGUCUUCGCUUGAUUUUGGGUCAGUUUCACUCAGUUUUGGGUCAUUUUCACUCCAUUUUGGGUCAUUUUCACUCCAUUUUGGGCCAUUUUGGGUCAUUUUCACUCCAUUUUGGGUCAUUGUCACUCCACCUUGGGCGAGUUUUACUCAUUUUUGGGCCAUUUUGGGUCAUUUUCACUCCAUUUUGGGUCAUUUCCACUCCAUUUUGGGCCAUUUUGGGCCAUUUUCACUGGGUUUUGUGCCAUUUUCGCUCAAUUUUGUGCCAUUUUCACUCCAUUUUGUGCCAUUUUUACUCCGUUUUGGGCCAUUUUCACUGGGUUUUGUGCCAUUUUUUGCUGGGUUUUGGGCCAUUUUCACUGGGUUUUGUGCCAUUUUCACUCCAUUUGGGGCCAUUUUCACUCCAUUUUGGGCCAGUUUUACUCCAUUUUGGGCCAUUUUGGGCCAUUUUCACCCUAUUUUGGGUAAUUUUCACUCCAUUUUGUGUUGGUUUCACUCAAUUUUGGGUCAUUUUCACUCCAUUUUGGGUCAUUUCCACUCCAUUUUGGUCCAUUUUGGGUCAUUUUCACUCCAUUUUGGGUCAUUUUCACUCAAUUUUGGGUCAUUUUCACUCCAUUUUGGGUCAUUUUCACUCAAUUUUGGGCCAUUUUCACUCCAUUUUGGGUCAUUUUCACUCAAUUUUGGGCCAUUUUCACUCCAUUUUGGGCCAUUUUCACUGGGUUUUGGGCCAUUUCCACUGGGUUUUGGGCCAUUUCACUCCAUUUUGGGUCAUUUUCACUCCAUUUUGGGCCAUUUUCACUGGGUUUUGUGCCAUUUUCGCUCAAUUUUGUGCCAUUUUCACUCCAUUUUGGGCCAUUUUCACCCUAUUUUGGGCCAUUUUCACUCCAUGUUGGGCUAAUUUUACUCCAUUUUGGGGUUUUUUGGGUCAUUUUCACUCCAUUUUGGGCCAUUUUCACUCCAUUUUCACUCCAUUUUCACUCUGUUUUGGGCCAUUUUCACUGGGUUUUGUGCCAUUUUCAUUCCAUUUUGGGCCAUUUUCACUCCAUUUUGGGCCAUUUUGGGUCAUUUUCACUGGGUUUUGGGCCAUUUUCACUCCAUGUUGGGCUAAUUUUACUCCAUUUUGGGGUUUUUGGGGCCAUUUUCACUCAAUUUUGGGCCAUUUUCACUCCAUUUUGUGCAAUUUUCACUGGGUUUUGUGCCAUUUUCACUCCAUUUUGUGCCAUUUUUACUCCGUUUUGGGCCAUUUUCACUCCAUUUUAGGCCAUUUUCACUCCAUUUUGGGCCAUUUUGGGUCAUUUUCACUGGGUUUUUGGCCAUUUUCACUCCAUUUUGUGCCAUUUUCACUCCAUUUUGUGCCAUUUUCACUCCAUUUUGUGCCAUUUUCACUCCGUUUUGUGCCAUUUUCACUCCGCUUUGGGUCAUUUUCACUCCAUUUUGGGCCAUUUUCACUCCAUUUUGGGCCAUUUUCACUCCAUUUUGGGCCAUUUUCACUCCAUUUUGGGCCAUUUUCACUCCAUUUUGGGUCAUUUUCACUGGGUUUUGGGCCAUUUUCACUGGGUUUUGGGCCAUUUUCACUGGGUUUUGGGUCAUUAUCACUCUGUUUUGGGUCAUUUCCACUCCAUUUUGGGCCAUUUUUACUCCGUUUUGGGCCAUUUUCACUCCAUUUUGGGCCAUUUUGGGUCAUUUUCACUGGGUUUUGGGCCAUUUUCACUGGGUUUUGUGCCAUUCUCACUCCAUUUUGUGCCAUUUUUACUCCGUUUUGGGCCAUUUUCACUGGUUUUUGGGCCAUUUUCACUCCAUUUUGGGCCAUUUUCACUCAAUUUUGGGCCAUUUUCACUCCAUUUUGUGCCAUUUUUACUCCGUUUUGGGCCAUUUUCACUCCAUUUUGGGCCAUUUUCACUCCAUUUUGGGCCAUUUUGGGUCAUUUUCACUGGGUUUUGGGCCAUUUUCACUCCAUUUUGUGCCAUUUUCACUCCAUUUUGGGCCAUUUUCACUCCAUUUUGGGCAAUUUUCACUGGGUUUUGGGCCAUUUUCACUGGGUUUUGGGUCAUUUUCACUGGGUUUUGUUCCAUUUUCACUGGGUUUUGGGCCAUUUUCCCCAUUUUCCCCCGUUUUCACUCCCUUUUCCCCUUCUCCCCCCUCCACCUGCGCAGGUUGAGCCCCAGCAGCGCCAGGUUAACCCCGUAGGUGCCGAGGCAGACCAGGCACAGGUCCCUGAGGCCGAAGAGCAGGACCCCCGCCAGCCACAGCGAGGCCAGCGCCGAGGCCACCGACGAGGCCACCAGGGCCACCGAGGCCACCCGGCCGCGCCGGACACCUGCCACAGAGGUCACACCAGUUUGGCCCAGUUUGGUCCCAGUCUGGUCCAGUUUGGCCCCAGUUUGUCCCCAGUUUGGCCUCAGUUUCCCCAGUUUGUCCCAGUUUGUCCCUGUGUCCUCCUCACCUUCCCAGUUUGUACCCAAGACAUUCCCAAUGUCCCCAGUUUGUCCCAGUAUCCCCAGUUUGUCCCAGUAUCCCCAGUUUGUCCCAGUGUCCUCCUCAGUGUUCCCAGUUUGGUCCCAGUUCCUCCCCAGUUCGUCCCAGUUUCUCCCAGUGUCCUCCUCACCUUCCUCCACAGUUUGUCCCAGUUUCUCCCAGUUUCUCUCCCAGUUUCCCCAGUUUGUCCCCAGUUUCCCCAGUUUGUCCCCAGUUUCUCCCCAGUUUGGCCCAGUUUGCCCCAGUUUGGCCCAGCCACAGCGAGGCCAGCGCCGAGGCCACCGACGAGGCCACCAGGGCCACCGAGGCCACCCGGCCGCGCCGGACACCUGCCAGAGAGGUCACACCAGUUUGGCCCAGUUUGGCCCCAGUCUGUCCCAGUUUGGCCUCAGUUUCCCCAGUUUGUUCCCAGUUUGUCCCAGUGUCCUCCUCAGUGUUCCCAGUUUGGUCCCAGUUUCUGCCCAGUUUGUUCCCAGUUUGUCCCCAGUCCCCCCCAACCCCCUCCCAGUCCCUCCCAGUCCCUCCCAGUCCAUCCCAGUGCCCUUUAA
This 3081-nucleotide long non-coding RNA is filed under the name Taeniopygia guttata (zebra finch). RNAcentral describes it as "lncRNA (ENSTGUG00000027044.1)". The record is from RNAcentral. Lineage: Eukaryota; Metazoa; Chordata; Aves; Passeriformes; Estrildidae.